RNAcentral lists this ribosomal RNA (496 nucleotides) under uncultured bacterium. Its description in RNAcentral is "partial 16S ribosomal RNA". It matches the Rfam family "Bacterial small subunit ribosomal RNA", at positions 29 to 507 of the family's 1533-position model. The record is from RNAcentral.
AUGCACGCUGGCGGCGUGCCUAAUCCCUGCAAGUCGAGCGAACAGACGAGGAGCUUGCUCCUCUGACGUUAGCGGCGGACGGGUGAGUAACACGUGGAUAACCUACCUAUAAGACUGGGAUAACUUCGGGAAACCGGAGCUAAUACCGGAUAAUAUAUUGAACCGCAUGGUUCAAUAGUGAAAGACGGUUUUGCUGUCACUUAUAGAUGGAUCCGCGCCGCAUUAGCUAGUUGGUAAGGUAACGGCUUACCAAGGCAACGAUGCGUAGCCGACCUGAGAGGGUGAUCGGCCACACUGGAACUGAGACACGGUCCAGACUCCUACGGGAGGCAGCAGUAGGGAAUCUUCCGCAAUGGGCGAAAGCUUGACGGAGCAACGCCGCGUGAGUGAUGAAGGUCUUCGGAUCGUAAAACUCUGUUAUUAGGGAAGAACAAAUGUGUAAGUAACUAUGCACGUCUUGACGGUACCUAAUCAGAAAGCCACGGCUAACUACGUG